RNAcentral lists this transfer RNA (73 nucleotides) under Bacteroidota bacterium. RNAcentral describes it as "Bacteroidetes bacterium (marine metagenome) tRNA-His". It matches the Rfam family "tRNA". From Rfam's summary of the family: Transfer RNA (tRNA) molecules are approximately 80 nucleotides in length. Their secondary structure includes four short double-helical elements and three loops (D, anti-codon, and T loops). The record is from RNAcentral. Lineage: Bacteria; Pseudomonadati; Bacteroidota.
UGGCUAUAGCUCAGUUGGUUAGAGCGCUGGUUUGUGGUUCCAGAGGUCGCCGGUUCGAUUCCGGUUAGUCACC